AGAGUUUGAUCAUGGCUCAGAUUGAACGCUGGCGGCAGGCCUAACACAUGCAAGUCGAGCGGCAGCGGGAGGAAGCUUGCUUCCUCGCCGGCGAGCGGCGGACGGGUGAGUAAUGUCUGGGGAUCUGCCCGAUGGAGGGGGAUAACCACUGGAAACGGUGGCUAAUACCGCAUAACGUCGCAAGACCAAAGUGGGGGACCUUCGGGCCUCACACCAUCGGAUGAACCCAGAUGGGAUUAGCUAGUAGGUGGGGUAAUGGCUCACCUAGGCGACGAUCCCUAGCUGGUCUGAGAGGAUGACCAGCCACACUGGAACUGAGACACGGUCCAGACUCCUACGGGAGGCAGCAGUGGGGAAUAUUGCACAAUGGGCGCAAGCCUGAUGCAGCCAUGCCGCGUGUGUGAAGAAGGCCUUCGGGUUGUAAAGCACUUUCAGCGAGGAGGAAGGUGGUGAGCUUAAUACGUUCAUCAAUUGACGUUACUCGCAGAAGAAGCACCGGCUAACUCCGUGCCAGCAGCCGCGGUAAUACGGAGGGUGCAAGCGUUAAUCGGAAUUACUGGGCGUAAAGCGCACGCAGGCGGUUUGUUAAGUCAGAUGUGAAAUCCCCGAGCUUAACUUGGGAACUGCAUUUGAAACUGGCAAGCUAGAGUCUCGUAGAGGGGGUAGAAUUCCAGGUGUAGCGGUGAAAUGCGUAGAGAUCUGGAGGAAUACCGGUGGCGAAGGCGGCCCCCUGGACGAAGACUGACGCUCAGGUGCGAAAGCGUGGGGAGCAAACAGGAUUAGAUACCCUGGUAGUCCACGCCGUAAACGAUGUCGAUUUGGAGGUUGUGCCCUUGAGGCGUGGCUUCCGGAGCUAACGCGUUAAAUCGACCGCCUGGGGAGUACGGCCGCAAGGUUAAAACUCAAAUGAAUUGACGGGGGCCCGCACAAGCGGUGGAGCAUGUGGUUUAAUUCGAUGCAACGCGAAGAACCUUACCUACUCUUGACAUCCAGAGAACUUUCCAGAGAUGGAUUGGUGCCUUCGGGAACUCUGAGACAGGUGCUGCAUGGCUGUCGUCAGCUCGUGUUGUGAAAUGUUGGGUUAAGUCCCGCAACGAGCGCAACCCUUAUCCUUUGUUGCCAGCGGUUAGGCCGGGAACUCAAAGGAGACUGCCAGUGAUAAACUGGAGGAAGGUGGGGAUGACGUCAAGUCAUCAUGGCCCUUACGAGUAGGGCUACACACGUGCUACAAUGGCGUAUACAAAGAGAAGCGAACCUGCGAAGGCAAGCGGACCUCAUAAAGUACGUCGUAGUCCGGAUUGGAGUCUGCAACUCGACUCCAUGAAGUCGGAAUCGCUAGUAAUCGUAGAUCAGAAUGCUACGGUGAAUACGUUCCCGGGCCUUGUACACACCGCCCGUCACACCAUGGGAGUGGGUUGCAAAAGAAGUAGGUAGCUUAACCUUCGGGAGGGCGCUUACCACUUUGUGAUUCAUGACUGGGGUGAAGUCGUAACAAGGUAACCGUAGGGGAACCUGCGGUUGGAUCACCU
Molecule: ribosomal RNA, 1529 nt
Filed under: Serratia rubidaea
Lineage: Bacteria; Pseudomonadati; Pseudomonadota; Gammaproteobacteria; Enterobacterales; Yersiniaceae
Description: bacterial SSU rRNA
Rfam family: Bacterial small subunit ribosomal RNA
Source: RNAcentral